GCUCCUACGGGACGCAGCAGUGAGGAAUAUUGGUCAAUGGGCGGGAGCCUGAACCAGCCAAGUCGCGUGAGGGAUGACGGUCCUACGGAUUGUAAACCUCUUUUGCCGGGGAGCAAGCGUGCGUUCGUGAACGCGCGUCGAGAGUACCCGGAGAAAAUGCAUCGGCUAACUCCGUGCCAGCAGCCGCGGUAAUACGGAGGAUGCGAGCGUUAUCCGGAUUUAUUGGGUUUAAAGGGUGCGUAGGCGGACUGUUAAGUCAGCGGUAAAAGCCCGGGGCUCAACCCCGGCGAGCCGUUGAAACUGGC
RNAcentral lists this ribosomal RNA (305 nucleotides) under uncultured bacterium. RNAcentral's name for it is "bacterial SSU rRNA". It matches the Rfam family "Bacterial small subunit ribosomal RNA", at positions 335 to 637 of the family's 1533-position model. The record is from RNAcentral.